Molecule: long non-coding RNA, 515 nt
Organism: Saccostrea cuccullata (small rock oyster)
Lineage: Eukaryota; Metazoa; Mollusca; Bivalvia; Ostreida; Ostreidae
Exons: 3
Source: RefSeq, a predicted model, not a curated record
UACAGAGAUGAAGCCGGUGUAGAUACAGAGGAGGACUUCCUGCCCAGCCCCAUGGCCCGCUAUCGUCAACUUCUCUUUGCCGCCCUCAAAUUCUGUCUGGCCAUGCUGACCUCACUGGGCAUAGAAAACCAGGAUUGUGGCAAUCAGGUGAUGCAGUUUAUCUCAUCUCACGGAGAAGUUUUCCACCGAAUUCUACGAGACACCAGGCAUCCCAGGAGUUUAAGUCUCCCUUCUCUACGUGAACUAGCUCUAACUACAGCGGUUAACUGACUCACGCUGACUCAAGAGGAAUACUGUAAAUCCAGCACCCACAACAGCUUUGUGGAGGCCCUCAUAAGGAGAGUAAGAAGACUAUCGAGGCUCACCACGGGGAUCAAGCUGAUAAGUUUUAAAAACAAAUAUCUACGGCUACAUAUACUGAUAUAAUCAAUGUUGUUUAUAAAAUUUGAUAUGACCUUUUAAUAUUUAGUACGUUCUACUGACAGUGGACUUACUGAGCUGAUAUCCCAUGUAAC